UGGGAUAUAGCUCAGUUGGUAGAGUGCUUGCUUUGCAUGCAUAAGGCCCUGGGUUCAAUCCCCAGCACCACAC
Molecule: transfer RNA, 73 nt
Filed under: Marmota marmota marmota (Alpine marmot)
Lineage: Eukaryota; Metazoa; Chordata; Mammalia; Rodentia; Sciuridae
Also listed under: 1 other name
Rfam family: tRNA
About the family: Transfer RNA (tRNA) molecules are approximately 80 nucleotides in length. Their secondary structure includes four short double-helical elements and three loops (D, anti-codon, and T loops). Further hydrogen bonds mediate the characteristic L-shaped molecular structure. tRNAs have two regions of fundamental functional importance: the anti-codon, which is responsible for specific mRNA codon recognition, and the 3' end, to which the tRNAs corresponding amino acid is attached (by aminoacyl-tRNA synthetases). tRNAs cope with the degeneracy of the genetic code in two manners: having more than one tRNA (with a specific anti-codon) for a particular amino acid; and 'wobble' base-pairing, i.e. permitting non-standard base-pairing at the 3rd anti-codon position.
Source: Rfam by way of RNAcentral